CCAGGCACGUGCCCUCACUAGGAAUCAAACCAGCGACCCUCCUGAUCACAGGCUGGCACUCUAUCCAUGGAGCCACACCAGCGCCAGCACCAGAAUUGUGUCUAAAAUUUAUGUUCCCUCUAUACUUUGUCCGAAAACCAGCUUCUUGCAGUUUAUGGUAGUGUUUAUAGUUUGGGGUUAAGAACAGAGUUCUUGUCAUUUUGACCAUCAGAAACAUCUAAAUUGCAUUUCCUGGAGUUAAUGUGUACAAUACUAUGUUUUAAUAUAUUGACUAUUCCUUUUUUAUAUAUUCUUAUACUUCUUCAAAUUCUCUAUUUGCUUUCCUUCAUUUUCAAGUGUUCUUGGCAAAUUGAUGCAGAAGUAUUGUGGUUUGUCUGGUUUUAUUCUGUUGCUAGCCCUUCUGGAGAGCAGAGGGACAGUUGGAAAUGCCCGAAGGAAAAAUAACCUGGCCAUUGUUAUAACUGAAUAACAGUACCCUUUUCCUGCAUAAUUAACCUUGAGUUUCCAAAGUGUGGGCUUGGGAUUCAUUGUAACUUAUUCCCCUUCAGUAUAAAACUAUUCGUUCAACUGUGUCUGAACCUUUGCUUCUGCUUUCUAAAUACUGGCUGGGAGAUCCACUUGUCAUACAUAUUUUAAGAAUAUAAUUAGGUUCUAAGUGUAGUUAGUACCACUUACACAGAUCAUGCAGCAGGAGAAUUAGCCGUUUAGAGUACUUUCUUAGCAAAUAAAUGCGUUGUCUGAGCUAUAUGACUGAUUCUAAACUAUUAGUGAAAUUAGAACAUGUUAAACUUACUGUGAAAUAGAUUUGUACUAUUUCUGCUAAGAAUUAAUAUUUAAUAAUUACACUCACAUAGCUUAGAGAGAUCCCUUAUUCCUUUUCUAUCCAGUGUCCUUUUUUUCUGCUUAAUCUGAAUGGACAUAUUACAUUCAAGUUGAGGGCCUUCAGAACAGCAAAUUAUACUGUAGUGGAUUGUUACAUUAGAUAAGUUGUGAUUUUUCUGAUUGCUUGCAAAAAUAUCAGGCUUUCAGUUUUAACCCGACUGACUAAAACUAUGAAAAAAUGAUAAAAGAGUUUUCUUUUUUUUCUUUUGCCUGGCUACAUAUUUUGAGGCAGUUUGUCCUGUUAAUACCAUGGGCCACAGCAUAGACCAGAUGCCCUAUAUGAGAAGGUGGGGAUUUAUGAGUAGUAGGAGCUUUGUUUAAAUUGGGAUGAAAAGGCAUUCAACAUUUACUGUCUGGGAGAGCAUCGUGGGUGAUUUGUUGUCCUUUUCCUUUGUAUUGCUCUAUCUGGACCUCCUUUUCCCCUCUCCCUCCAGUCAUUUAGAGUGCACACCCGUUUCACUUCUUCCUUUUGAAGAGCAUUGAGUUCUGUUUCUGCAGUAUUUAUUUUAAGCUUUUACUUUGCAUUUAUCUGCUGCUUAAGUAUCUUGAAUCCCUACCAGAUUUGACACUGUCACUGGGAACAGAGGCUGUCUUUGUAUUCCUGAUGUUAGCAUUGUCUUUCGCUCGAAUUUACAAGUUCAGUAAACUUCAUCUUAGCUGUUUAUUAUAUGAUACUUUUUGGCAAAAAAAUAAGUUAAAUGAGAAAAAGGUGCUUUUAGGAGAAUUGGAUUCAUGAAGUUUGAUCACCUUGGACGCCUUAGCAGUUUCCUGAAGCAAUAAGUACAGCAUGAUGUGCUUCGUGUUGCUAUCUGUCAUCACAGGGCAUUGCACCGAAAAAUUCAUUUUUAAAGUCUCAUUUUAUUGAACUUCCUUAAUGUGUUUUGAUUACCACAAACUGGGUUUUUAGCUCAUAACGAAAAAACUGCUUGUUUUAAGUUGAGCCUUUGGUGUCCCUUUCUGCCAGUGGAUGAUUUGAGCCUCCUUAUUAUCACUACCUUAAUUUAGUGGUGAGUAGUAGAAUUGGAUUUUCAGCUUUUGUAUGACAUCAUCAAUGUUUCUUUUUAAGAGUAAUUUAACAAAUUGAAACAAAAGAAUUAUAAAAUAGAAAGUGAAAAUUUCCCAUCUCAGUUCUGCUCGGUGUGUUUCUGAGCACAGACAGACAGUUUUUGAAGAUACAACUCUGCAUUGUGAAAGACGUAUAGAGGCACUGUAGCUUCUCAACGCAGAGGUUAUGAUUGUAGUCAGAUGCCGGGGUUCACGUCCCAGUCCAGUGCAUUUAGGUGGGCCUUUCCUUCUCUCUCUAGUUCUCUUCAUCUGUAAAAUGUGGAGAGUUAAUGGCAUUGUUUGGAACAGUUGGGGAUAAUAUGAAGUGCUUUACACACUGCCUGGAGUAUGUGCCAAUAAAUACUAGCUAUUACCAUAACUAUGUUCUACAGCUUUUUACCUGACAUUGCGGGUAUCCGUCUGCGCAACUUACAUGUAAUAACUGCUUCAUUUUUAUAUCACAUAUUACAUUGUAAGAAUACUCUUGUAAUCAACCAGUUCUUAAAUGGAUAUUAUGAUGCUUUCCAGUUUGUUAGUGCAUUGUGUACAGUGUUCCUGUGUAACCUGGGAUAUCUUUUUUGUAUGAUUCUUACAAAAAUUGUCAAAUUCCAGAACCUGUGAGGUCAAGAGAGUAUUCAUUAGCCAAUAUCAAGUGUGCCCUCUCUGUAGGAAAUAGCCCUGGACUGACACUGCUCAUUUUAAGCUUACUGUUGCUGUACAGGUGCUGGGGGCAAGUCCAUAUUUGGCCUGUCAUCUAAUCCAUUGCACACUUACCCCAGAAGCGGCCAGAAAUUAGGAUUUUUGUGAUUAGGAUAUUAUAUAUUACAAUAUGGUUUACAAUAGGCUAUGUCGUCCUACUUCAGGACCUUUGGUUUGAGUUCUGUGUCCUAGGAUUUCUGUAUGAUAGAUUGCUAGAAGCGAAUUUACUAGACAUAAACUUUAAAAAUUGAUCUAUGGCCCUUCAUGGUGUGGUUUAGUGGAUUCAGUGCCAGCCUGGAAACUGAAGAGGUCACCGGUUCAAUUCCCAGGCACAUGCCUGGGUUGCGGGCUGGGUCCCCAGUUGGGGGCUUGAGAGAGGCGACUGAUGGAUGGACCUAUCGUACAUCAUUGUUUCUUUCCCUCUCUUUCUCCCUUCCCUUCUUUCUACUAAUAAAUAAAAUAGCUAAAAAAUUGAUAUAUACAUUUUAAUUUUGAUGAAUGUUGCCAAAUUGCUUUUAAAAAUGAUGCACCAAGUGCACUUUCAUUGUGAUGGAUCGGUGUGCUCAUUUUCUUACACUGUUGCCAACAUUGGAGGUUUAUAAUAAGUUUUUAAUUUUUAUCAGCUAUCCAUCAACUUUGUUUUUCUCCAGUCUUGCAGAAAAUGGUUGCUUCCCUGGAAGCUUAAUUUGCUUCCCUAAUUUCUAGUGAAACUCUGUGUGUGUGUGUGUGUGUGUAGGGGGGGGGAGAACUUUAUGCAUUUAGAAUUUACUGUUUUGGCAGAGGUUGCAUGUAUUUUCCUCAUUUACCAUUUGCUUAACCUUUGUCCAUGAUGUAUUUUUGCCACAUAAAAGUUGGAGUAUUUUUAUACAGGCAAAUCUGUUUUGUGUAUGGCUUUUGGGAUUUGUCUCUUGCUUAAAUGUGGUUCUGAAAAUAGUGUUCAUUUCCUUUAACAUUUUGAAAUGUCUCUGUAAUUUUUAAAUGUUUUGAAAUGUAUUAUGGCAUCUGUAAUUUAGAUUUUACUGUAUACAACCAAAGCCAUUUGAGAAUUUCAUACUUUCUUCACUGACUUGGAAUAGUUAUUAGUAAUAAUACAUCCAAAGAUUGAUCAUACUUUUUUUGGAUGUAUAGCCACUAAACUACAGUUCACAAAUCGUAGGAACUGGCACUAUUUAAGUUAGCUUUAUAAUUGUUGUACCAAGAGGUUCUUGAUAUUUCAGAGUGUAUGUACUGGUUUAAGUUGGACACCUAAACUUUUGAAACAAAUACAUAGCUGUAAUAAGGAACCUAUUGUGCUAAUUUUACAAAAAUGUUGCUAUUCUUCUUUGUAAGUACCCAAAUAUCCUAAUUAGAGUCAGGUCUUAGCCUAUCAUUGGGAAAGGGCAGAGCUCUUUAUGAGUACUAGUUUAAAAACUUACUGUGUUUGGAAAACUCCUCACAAUGUGUCAUAGUUUUUAAAUUCCCAGUUUACCAUGCAGCGUAGAGAAGAGUUGUAAUAUAUUCGCUGGUAAAUCCACGGGUACAACUUAGCGAGAAUAAUUUUCACUGGUGGCAGGAGUGAAACCAGAAUAGAAGAGAAAACAGGCCUCUGUGAUUGAUCACGUUUCUGCAGAAUGGAGAGGAGGAGUUCUGGAUGCCAUUACCAAAAGUUGUGGAGGGUUUUGAGGAAGCUGUGUUUUGGGAAGCUGUGUUUGGGAGCAGCGUGGAUGGUGGGUUGGCAUCGCAAAGGAGCAGAAGGACGAAGUGGGACCAAAAUGCCAGGUGUCAUAGCUGGAGUACUUGGAAUAGAAUUGUUAUAUAGAGUGUUGUUAAAA
Molecule: long non-coding RNA, 4436 nt
Organism: Phyllostomus discolor (pale spear-nosed bat)
Lineage: Eukaryota; Metazoa; Chordata; Mammalia; Chiroptera; Phyllostomidae
Exons: 2
Source: RefSeq, a predicted model, not a curated record